UACGUAGGUGGCAAGCGUUAUCCGGAUUUAUUGGGCGUAAAGGGAACGCAGGCGGUCUUUUAAGUCUGAUGUGAAAGCCUUCGGCUUAACCGGAGUAGUGCAUUGGAAACUGGGAGACUUGAGUGCAGAAGAGGAGAGUGGAACUCCAUAUGUAGCGGUGAAAUGCGUAGAUAUAUGGAAGAACACCAGUGGCGAAAGCGGCUCUCUGGUCUGCAACUGACGCUGAGGUUCGAAAGCGUGGGUAGCAAACAGG
RNAcentral lists this ribosomal RNA (253 nucleotides) under uncultured bacterium. RNAcentral describes it as "partial 16S ribosomal RNA". It matches the Rfam family "Bacterial small subunit ribosomal RNA", at positions 524 to 776 of the family's 1533-position model. The record is from RNAcentral.